UUUUUUUUUUUUUUUGGGGUGGAGGUGAAGGUUUUCGAUACGAGGAAAUGAUUUGUUUACUAGCUGUAGCUGGACAUUGCCUCGUUUAAAUUUUUGUUCAUUUUGGAAAAUGCAUGUUUAUAAUAUUUUAAUGUGAUUCUAGAGUCUCUUCUAUCAUUUUCUGCCUUGUUUCUGGUGAAUGUGGAUUUGGGUUUUGAGAUUUCAGCUCAUAAUGUUGGAUGUCUAGACAUGGGUAGGGAAUUAUUAGGAAUUUUUUUUGUGUAAAUUCAUUUUGAUGAGUUCUUCUUUAACUAUUUGUUUGUUUCUUAAUUAUUCACAAGAUUAUAAAAUCUGGGAAUGGAAUGCAAAUUGGCGAAUUUGUAUUUCCAACUUCAAUGCAUGAAGUUUAAUUCCCUACGCUUUUAAUGCAUCAUUUUUAAUCCUCGAUGUCUGUUUUGAAAUUAUAUAAGGCUUCAUUUCUAUAUAUGAGGAAUUGACAUGAAGGAGUUUUUGAAUUUGAAGUUAUGUUGUUAUUUUGUGAUUUUUCACGAAAGACAUCUGUUUGUUUCAUUAGGCUUUAGAAAAAGAAAUUCUCCAUGAGCGGCGCCUUGACCUCUGUAUUGAAGGCAGGAUCUGGAAUUGCCCUUUGUGGUGUUUUUUAGCAGAGUAUAAUUGCUUUGGGAUUAAACUUUGAGAGAUGACACGAGGUAGGAUAAGGGCAAGGCUCCGCCGGAGCCAUUUUCACCCAUUUUCUUGCAUGAGACCAAGAACAGAAGAUGGUAAAGGACCACAUCCAAUUGAAGGACCUGGGUAUUCAAGAGUUGUUCAUUGCAACCAACCACGUAUGCACCGGAGAAAGCCUUUAAAGUAUUGCUCAAAUUAUAUAUCCACAACAAAGUAUAACAUCGUCACCUUCCUGCCUAAGGCACUCUUUGAGCAGUUCCGGCGUGUUGCUAAUAUCUACUUCCUUUUGGCUGCUAUUCUUUCACUUACACCUGUUGCUCCAUUCUCUGCUGUGAGCAUGAUUUUUCCUUUGGCUUUUGUUGUUGGUAUUAGUAUGGCAAAGGAAGCUUUAGAAGAUUGGCGUAGGUUUAUUCAGGAUAUGAAGGUUAAUACCAGGAAAGCUAGUGUCCAUGUAGCUGAUGGAUUUGGUUACAAGACGUGGGAGAAGAUUCAGGUUGGUGAUGUGGUGAGGGUGGAAAAGGAUCAGUUUUUCCCAGCUGAUUUGCUUUUAUUGUCCAGUAGUUAUGAAGAUGGGAUUUGCUAUGUGGAGACUAUGAAUUUGGAUGGUGAGACAAACUUGAAGCCAAAAAGAGCUUUGGAGGUAACAUUGCCUCUGGAUGAAGAUGAGGCGUUCAAGAAUUUUACAGGAACGAUAAAAUGUGAGGACCCAAAUCCCAGUCUUUACACCUUUAUUGGUAAUCUUGAGUAUAAUCAUCAGGUUUAUCCUCUUGAUCCUAGUCAGAUUCUCCUUAGAGAUUCAAAGCUUAGGAAUACAACUUUUGUUUAUGGGGUUGUGAUAUUCACUGGUUUUGACAGCAAAGUUAUGCAGAACUCAACAAAGUCCCCCUCAAAGAGGAGCAGAAUAGAAAGAAAAAUGGACAAAAUUAUAUACAUCCUUUUCAGCCUCCUUUUAGUGAUCUCGUUGAUAAGCUCAAUUGGUUUUGCAGUGAAGAUAAAAUUCCAAAUGCCAGACUGGUGGUACAUGCAACCAUCAAAACCUGAAAAUCUGUAUGAUCCUAAUAGCCCUGUCAAGUCAGGUCUAGCCCAUCUGAUCACUGCUCUCAUCCUUUAUGGGUAUUUAAUACCCAUCUCUCUUUAUGUUUCAAUUGAGGUUGUGAAAGUUUGUCAAGCAAAAUUCAUUGACGAGGACCUGAAGAUGUAUGAUGAAGAAACUGGCAAUACUGCUGAAGCACGAACAUCAAACUUAAAUGAGGAGUUGGGCCAAGUGGACACAAUCCUCUCUGAUAAAACCGGCACCUUGACCUGUAAUCAGAUGGAUUUUCUGAAGUGUUCCAUUGCUGGUACUGCAUAUGGUGUGCGUUCUAGUGAAGUUGAACUUGCUGCAGCGAAACAGAUGGCCAUGGACCUUGAGGAGCAGGAUGUAGAAAUAUCUAAUGGCUCCAGCCUUAAGAACCAUGCUCGUAAUUCAUGGGAGAAUAGCAGUGGAGCACCAGAAAUUGAACUCGAGACUGUCAUUACUUCUGCAGAUGAAAAGGAUCAGAAAACAGCGAUAAAGGGGUUUAGUUUUGAGGACAACCGUCUCAUGGAUGGAAAUUGGUUGAAGGAGCCCAAUACAGAUGUCAUUUUAUUAUUCUUCCGGAUAUUAGCAGUUUGUCAGAGUGCUGUUCCUGAGCUGAAUGAAGAGACUGGCAUUUUCACAUAUGAAGCAGAGUCUCCGGAUGAAGGGGCCUUUCUUGUUGCAGCAAGAGAAUUUGGUUUUGAAUUUUGUAAAAGAACUCAAUCAAGCGUGAUUAUCCGUGAAAAGUUUGCUCGCCCAGGACAACUGGUCGAAAGGGAGUUCAAAAUUCUCAGUUUGUUGGAAUUUACUAGCAAAAGGAAGCGAAUGUCUGUCAUUGUGAGGGAUGAGGAUGGACAGAUUCUGCUCCUGUGCAAAGGUGCUGACAGCAUCAUUUUUGACCGCCUAUCAAAGAAAGGAAGAAUGUACGAGGAAACUACUGCUAAGCACUUGAAUGAGUAUGGAGAAGCUGGGUUGCGCACAUUGGCGCUUGCUUACAAGAAGCUUGAUGAGUCCGAGUAUAAUACAUGGAACAAUGAGUUUAUGAAAGCCAAAACUUCUGUUGUUGCUGAUCGAGAUGGAAUGCUUGAGCGAGUAGCAGAUAUGAUGGAAAGGGAAUUGAUUCUUGUGGGUGCUACUGCUGUUGAGGACAAAUUACAAAAAGGGGUGCCCCAGUGCAUAGAUAAACUCGCUCAAGCUGGCCUCAAGAUAUGGGUUUUGACAGGGGAUAAGAUGGAAACUGCGAUCAAUAUAGGAUAUGCAUGUAGUUUACUUCGACAGGGAAUGAAACAAAUUUGCAUCACAGUGACAAACUCAGAUGCAACAUCCCAAGAUUCCAAACAGGCUGUGAAAGAUAAUAUUUUGCAUCAAAUCACCAAUGCCUCUCACAUGAUUAAACUAGAAAAGGAUCCACUUGCUGCAUUUGCAUUAAUAAUUGAUGGGAAAACUUUGACUUUUGCUCUGGAGGAUGAUAUGAAGCACCAGUUCUUGGCAUUGGCCGUUGAAUGUGCAUCUGUCAUAUGCUGUCGUGUCUCUCCCAAGCAGAAGGCGCUGGUAACAAGAUUAGUGAAAGAAGGAACUGGAAGAACCACCUUAGCUAUAGGUGAUGGUGCAAAUGAUGUCGGAAUGAUUCAAGAAGCUGACAUUGGUGUUGGCAUCAGUGGGGUGGAAGGUAUGCAGGCUGUGAUGGCCAGUGAUUUCUCAAUUUCCCAGUUUCAGUUCUUGGAAAGACUUCUAGUAGUGCAUGGACACUGGUGCUACAAGAGAAUUGCUCAGAUGGUAAUAGCCAAACAAUAGCAACCUUGAUGCUUUAUUUCAUGAAUUCAACAGCAUAGCAUCCACUGCACAGCCACAGAUACAUAUGCAUUGCAUAAACACAAUUUGGCAUCUAAUGUUGUUCUGAAUAACCCACAUGGUUGACUAAUCUUUACUUAAACCUGGAUCUUUGGCUUACAGAUUUGCUAUUUCUUCUACAAAAAUAUAGCAUUUGGUCUCACCCUGUUCUACUUUGAGGCAUUUGCAGCCUUUUCUGGGCAAUCAGUUUACGAUGACUGGUACAUGCUAUUGUUUAAUGUCGUUCUUACCUCCUUACCUGUUAUUUCACUUGGAGUUUUUGAACAAGAUGUUUCUUCAGAGGUCUGCUUACAGUUCCCGGCACUUUAUCAGCAAGGACCCAAAAAUCUGUUCUUUGACUGGUAUAGGAUACUGGGAUGGAUGGGCAACGGUCUCUAUUCCUCUCUUGUUAUUUUCUUCCUCAAUCUUGUCAUCCUGUUUGACCAACCAUUCCGAGCCGAAGGUCAAACUGCUGAUAUGUCAGCGGUGGGCACCACUAUAUUCUCUUGCAUCGUCUGUGCUGUGAACUGCCAGAUCGCACUUACAAUGAGCCACUUCACAUGGAUUCAACACGUUUUUGUCUGGGGCAGCAUUGCCUCUUGGUUCUUGUUUCUCCUACUUUACGGGAUGGUAUCUCCUAUUUAUUCUGGGAAUGCCUACCAAAUUUUAGUUGAAGCUCUUGGUCCAGCACCUAUAUAUUGGUGUUCCAUCAUCUUGGUAACAGUUGCAUGUAAUUUGCCUUACAUAACUCACAUUUCGUUCCAAAGAUGUAUCCAUCCAAUGGAUCACCAUAUCAUCCAAGAAAUCAAGUACUAUAGGAAGGAUGUUGAGGAUCAACACAUGUGGAGAAGAGAGCGGUCGAAGGCAAGACAAGAAACCAAGAUUGGUUUCUCAGUGAGGGUGGAUGCAAAGAUAAGGCAGUUAAAAGGGAAGUUGCACAAGAAGCAUUCAACUUUAGUAACACAAAGUUAUGCAUCUUCCCCAUCAUAACCUAUUCCAAUAUUUUUUUUUUCAUUCCUUUUCUUUUUCUUAUUUUUGAAAAGCUUUUAGGGUUUUUAGGCGUUUGCAGUUUCAAUCAUUGCCCUUGUAACGAUUCAUUUUGCAGUGAUUUUU
This 4663-nucleotide unclassified non-coding RNA is filed under the name Hevea brasiliensis (rubber tree). Lineage: Eukaryota; Viridiplantae; Streptophyta; Magnoliopsida; Malpighiales; Euphorbiaceae. The record is from RNAcentral.